UACGUAGGGGACCAAGCGUUGUCCGGAAUCAUUGGGCGUAAAGCGCGCGUAGGUGGCCAUUUAAGUCCGCUGUGAAAGUCAGAGGCUCAACCUUUGAAAGCCGGUGGAUACUGGAUGGCUAGAGUACGGAAGAGGCGAGUGGAAUUCCUGGUGUAGCGGUGAAAUGCGCAGAUAUCGGGAAGAACACCCGUGGCGAAGGCGGCACUCUGGGACGGUACUGACGCUGAGACGCGAAAAGCGUGGGGAG
RNAcentral lists this ribosomal RNA (247 nucleotides) under uncultured bacterium. RNAcentral's name for it is "partial 16S ribosomal RNA". It matches the Rfam family "Bacterial small subunit ribosomal RNA", at positions 524 to 768 of the family's 1533-position model. The record is from RNAcentral.